AUGGCUCAGCUCCAAGCCACGCCGCUCAGAACCCUAGCCCUCUCCCGCCGGCGGGGCGCCGGCGCGGCGGCGCGGCCUACGGCGGGCUCCGUCCGGUGCUCCGCCGCGGCCAGGAGCUACAGCAUUACGCUCCUCCCCGGCGACGGCAUCGGCCCCGAGGUCGUCGCCGUCGCCAAGGACGUCCUCUCCGUCGCCGGCUCCAAGGAAGGCGUGGAGCUCCGGUUCCGGGAGAUGCUGAUGGGCGGCGCGGCGCUGGACGCGGCCGGCGUGCCGCUCCCCGACGAGACGCUCGCGGCGGCGCGGGCCUCGGACGCCAUCCUCCUCGGCGCGAUUGGAGGGUAUAAAUGGGAUAACAAUGAGAAGCAUCUCAAGCCCGAGACUGGGCUGCUCAACAUCCGUGCUGGGCUCGGCGUGUUUGCCAAUCUGCGGCCAGCCACCGUGUUACCGCAGUUAGUAGAUGCAUCUACUUUGAAGAAAGAGGUAGCUGAAGGAGUUGACAUCAUGGUUGUUAGAGAGCUUACUGGAGGGAUCUACUUCGGCAAACCUAGGGGUUUUGGAACCAAUGACAAGGGAGAGGAAACUGGCUUCAACACUGAAAUAUAUUCAGCUGCUGAGAUCGAUCGUAUUGCCCGUGUUGCAUUUGAGGUUGCUCGCAAGAGAGGAGGGAAACUAUGCUCGGUGGACAAGGCGAACGUGCUUGAGGCAUCUAUGCUUUGGAGGAAACGGGUAACUGCAAUAGCUUCUGAAUUCCCUGACGUUGAACUCUCACACAUGUACGUUGAUAACGCUGCGAUGCAGCUUGUUAGGAAUCCUAAACAGUUUGACACGAUUGUGACAAACAAUAUUUUUGGUGACAUAUUAUCGGACGAAGCAUCAAUGAUCACAGGAAGCAUUGGAAUGCUGCCAUCUGCCAGUGUUGGUGAAUCGGGACCGGGUCUUUUUGAACCCAUUCAUGGCUCUGCUCCUGACAUUGCUGGCCAGGACAAGGCAAACCCGUUAGCUACAAUUCUUAGUGCUGCGAUGCUAUUGAAAUAUGGCCUUGGUGUAGAAAGUGCUGCAAAGAGAAUCGAAGCCGCGGUUACAGAGACACUGGACAAUGGGUUCCGAACUGGGGACAUAUAUUCUCCUGGGACGACAUUGGUUGGAUGCAAGCGAAUGGGAGAGGAAGUCCUGAAGGCUCUGGAGUCGCAGAAGUAA
Molecule: ribosomal RNA, 1197 nt
Filed under: Triticum aestivum (bread wheat)
Lineage: Eukaryota; Viridiplantae; Streptophyta; Magnoliopsida; Poales; Poaceae
Description: partial small subunit ribosomal RNA
Source: RNAcentral